This 21-nucleotide non-coding RNA is filed under the name Caenorhabditis elegans. The record is from RNAcentral. Lineage: Eukaryota; Metazoa; Nematoda; Chromadorea; Rhabditida; Rhabditidae.
UUCAAAAAAAAUCGUCGUUAC